GUGGCGCUUCUGUUUUUGUCUGUACUUCAGUGGUGCAGUUCAGUCUCUGCACUACCGGGGUGCAGGAAGCAGUUUUGUGACUGAUGGAAACCAAGCACUGUGUAGAGAGCAAUACUUAGGAUGUGGAUACAAGGUUCCAGUUGCUGGCUUUGUUUGGUGCUGUCUUUCUCAAACAAGUAGCAUGAACUAAUCAGGCCACUUUUGUGAGUGAGUGAAGAUUACAGAGAGAAUGUUAUGUUACAAGUUUUAAGAAUUUCAUGACACAAUCAACUUACCAAGCUGUCCUAGAGAAACAAACUCUAGCAUAAAAUGUAAGUACUGUAGAGACAGUUCCAUUUCUGCCAAAGGUGAGCAACACUGUCAAGUUCAAAAGUGAAUUGGCAGUCACUCUGGUUUUACACUGCAUUUAAGAGAAUAAUAGUUUCAUAUGCCAG
RNAcentral lists this long non-coding RNA (434 nucleotides) under Cyanistes caeruleus (blue tit). RNAcentral's name for it is "lncRNA (ENSCCEG00000010314.1)". Lineage: Eukaryota; Metazoa; Chordata; Aves; Passeriformes; Paridae. The record is from RNAcentral.